Molecule: ribosomal RNA, 254 nt
Filed under: uncultured bacterium
Lineage: Bacteria
Description: partial 16S ribosomal RNA
Rfam family: Bacterial small subunit ribosomal RNA
Source: RNAcentral
UACGUAGGGGGCAAGCGUUGUCCGGAUUUAUUGGGCGUAAAGAGCUCGUAGGCGGUUCGGCAAGUCGAAUGUGAAAUCUCCACGCUCAACGUGGAGGGGUCAUUCGAUACUGCCGUGACUUGAGUACGGUAGGGGAGUGUGGAAUUCCCGGUGUAGCGGUGAAAUGCGCAGAGAUCGGGAGGAACACCCGUAGCGAAGGCGGUACUCUGGGCCGAUACUGACGCUGAGGAGCGAAAGCGUGAGGAGCGAACAGG